Molecule: ribosomal RNA, 254 nt
Filed under: uncultured bacterium
Lineage: Bacteria
Description: partial 16S ribosomal RNA
Rfam family: Bacterial small subunit ribosomal RNA
Source: RNAcentral
UACGGAGGGUGCGAGCGUUGUCCGGAAUUAUUGGGCGUAAAGAGCUCGUAGGCGGUGUGUCACGUCGAUCGUGAAAACUUACAGCUUAACUGUGAGCGUGCGGUCGAUACGGGCAUCACUGGAGUUCGGCAGGGGAGACUGGAAUUCCUGGUGUAGCGGUGAAAUGCGCAGAUAUCAGGAGGAACACCGGUGGCGAAGGCGGGUCUCUGGGCCGAUACUGACGCUGAGGAGCGAAAGCGUGGGGAGCGAACAGG